CGCGCUACACUGACAGAGCCAGCGAGUUUUUUUCCUUGGCCGGAAGGUCUGGGUAAUCUUGUGAAACUCUGUCGUGCNGGGGAUAGAGCAUUGCAAUUAUUGCUCUUCAACGAGGAAUUCCUAGUAAGCGUGAGUCAUCAGCUCGCGUUGAUUACGUCCCUGCCCUUUGUACACACCGCCCGUCGUUACUACCGAUUGAAUGGCUUAGUGAGGUCUUGGGAUCGGCUUCGGGGAGUCGGCAACGACACCCUGUCGCUGAAAACUUGAUCAAACUUGGUCAUUUAGAGGAAGUACAAGUCGUAACAAGGUUUCCGUAGGUGAACCUGCGGAAGGAUCAUUA
RNAcentral lists this ribosomal RNA (340 nucleotides) under Picipes tubaeformis. RNAcentral's name for it is "SSU rRNA". It matches the Rfam family "Eukaryotic small subunit ribosomal RNA", at positions 1494 to 1831 of the family's 1831-position model. Lineage: Eukaryota; Fungi; Basidiomycota; Agaricomycetes; Polyporales; Polyporaceae. The record is from RNAcentral.